RNAcentral lists this long non-coding RNA (1516 nucleotides) under Equus asinus (donkey). Its description in RNAcentral is "lncRNA (ENSEASG00005029331.1)". Lineage: Eukaryota; Metazoa; Chordata; Mammalia; Perissodactyla; Equidae. The record is from RNAcentral.
ACAUCCGUUAAUUUGCAUGAGGCUGUGAGAAAAAAAAUCUUUGAAGAAGUCUGGCUGUCGGGCAGGCCAGUGUAGAAAAUGGCGAGAACACGGUUUCCUGGAGCAUGAAGCUGUGUCUGAGCAUCUUUUGACACCGUCCCAGGAAGAAGAGGCUCAGUCAGCUCUGAGAAGCCCCUCUGAAAAAGCUGGUGUAGGAGGGAGAGAAGUACUAACGGGUACAGGACUGUCCAGGUCUCUCCUGGAUUACUGUGCCGCCUCCCAGCUGAGCUUUCUGAAUUCAGUCGCACCCCUGCAAGUCCUCCUCUAUUGCAGAGUACUCCAAACACAUUUUAUUUUGCCCUCCUAAAUAAAGUGCAAAGAUUUGAGCCCAGCCCCGAACACAUUUAUAUUUAUGCACAAAUCGAAAAUGCCCUCCUGAACCAAAAUUUAGUUAUAUUUUAGAACAUGCACAAAAGAGAAAUUAGAAGAGAAUGAGAAAAAUAAACAGAGGGGUGCUAACAUUUUCUUUGAUUCCUCCCAAUUAAUUGUCUUACCAACCUCACCUGAAAACCACCUGCAAAGUAACCGAAGGAGCUCUGGGCUGGAUGUGGGGUUGAUGUCUUGCUUAGACUGGACUAGACUACUGAUCCCUGAGAGUGAGUCUCAAUUAUCCAAAAAGAGAUUAUUCUUAGGGCUAAAAGUGACAGGAAACGGAUGAAUUAAUAAAUCUGUCCAAGAGGCCAGCCUCGUGGCCGAGCGGUUAAGUUCUCGCGCUCCACUUUGGCGGCCCUGGGUUUUGCUGGUUAAGAUCCUGGGCGCGGACAUGGCACUGCUCAUCAAGCCAUGCUGAGGUGGCGUCCCAAGUAGCACAACCAGAGGGACCUACAACUAGAAUAUACAGCUAGUUACUGGGGGGCUUUGGGGAAAGGAAGGAAACAAAAAGAAGAUUGGCAACAGAUGUUAGCUCAGGUGCCAAUCUUAAAAAAAAAAAAGAAAAAGCAAUCUGUGCAAGAUGUCGUUUGACAGCAGAGACUGAAGAUAAAUAAAUUCAUUUCCUGGUCCUACCAUCAUUAAAUCCAGUCUAUUUAAUAUACUCUUUGCCCAAAGCUAAACUAAGUCUUUCUGGCUGGAUUUCAAAUUUCUUACCUGGCUCUGGGAAAUACACAGAAUUGGGUGGCUACACAAUCUUCAGGUUUGCUUGGGUGGUGACUCUGCAAAGCAAACAUGGGUAUUAGAGGCACAAAAGCAAAGGACAGGGCUACCCCUCCUUGUGAUGGGGACCCUGCUCCCUGGCAGCGGGCCCACCAGCCUACAGGCAUUAAAAGGCAACAACAGUUCCUGCAAAAUCAAACAGCAACUUAGCUGAUCUCCAGCCUGGCUCUUAAACAGAUCUACAGGCAUUGUUUAAGACUUAGGUUUGCUUUUCCUGUUUUCCCAUCAAAGGAAAAUAGCCUAAAAAAAAUAGCGUUCCAAGUGACCAAAGGUUAGAAAAAUUGUCAUGCAAGUGUUUUAAAUUCUUUGUCAUCCCUGAUUUCUU